GACGUAGGGGGCCAGCGUUGUUCGGAAUUACUGGGCGUAAAGGGCGUGUAGGCGGCCAACUAAGUCCGACGUGAAAUCCCCAGGCUUAACCUGGGAACUGCGUCGGAUACUGGAUGGCUUGAAUCCGGGAGAGGGAUGCGGAAUUCCAGGUGUAGCGGUGAAAUGCGUAGAUAUCUGGAGGAACACCGGUGGCGAAGGCGGCAUCCUGGACCGGCAUUGACGCUAAAGCGCGCAAGCCAGGGGAGCAAACGGG
This 253-nucleotide ribosomal RNA is filed under the name uncultured bacterium. RNAcentral describes it as "partial 16S ribosomal RNA". It matches the Rfam family "Bacterial small subunit ribosomal RNA", at positions 524 to 776 of the family's 1533-position model. The record is from RNAcentral.